This 457-nucleotide ribosomal RNA is filed under the name uncultured bacterium. Its description in RNAcentral is "partial 16S ribosomal RNA". It matches the Rfam family "Bacterial small subunit ribosomal RNA", at positions 338 to 795 of the family's 1533-position model. The record is from RNAcentral.
CCUACGGGCGGCAGCAGUGGGGAAUAUUGCACAAUGGGGGAAACCCUGAUGCAGCGACGCCGCGUGAGUGAAGAAGUAUUUCGGUACGUAAAGCUCUAUCAGCAGGGAAGAAAAAAAGUCCUUUGGACUUUGGACGGUACCUGACCAAGAAGCCUCGGCUAACUACGUGACAGCAGCCGCGGUAAUACGGAGGGGGCAAGCGUUAUCCGGAUUUACGGGGCGUAAGGGGAGCGUAGACGGCAGCGCAAGUCGGGUGUGAAAUGCCGGGGCCCAACCCCGGAACGGCAUUGGAAACUGUGCAGCUGGAGUACAGGAGAGGUAAGCGGAAUUCUUAGUGUAGCGGUGAAAUGCGUAGAUAUUAGGAGGAACACCAGUGGCGAAGGCGGCUUACUGGACUGUAACUGACGUUGAGGCUCGAAAGCGUGGGGAGCAAACAGGAUUAGAUACCCUAGUAGUC